Molecule: long non-coding RNA, 423 nt
Organism: Mangifera indica (mango)
Lineage: Eukaryota; Viridiplantae; Streptophyta; Magnoliopsida; Sapindales; Anacardiaceae
Exons: 3
Source: RefSeq, a predicted model, not a curated record
ACUACAGAUAUCAAGGUUAAUCUUUACGAAUUCAGGCAAUGCCAUCUUGGCAUUAGCGUCAAAUGCUGUCGCCUGCUCUGGAAGUGGCAGCGAAGUGACCGUAAUUCAACUGGCAAGGCAACUGCCAGUGUGCCACCUCAACUAUGGCAACCACCAAGUGGCAUUCUGAUGACCAAUGAAGUUUCAGACACAAACCCUGAAGAGGCUGUUUGUUGCUUUGCUUUGUCUAAGAAUGAUUCUUGCUUCUGGUGGAAAAAUUUCCCUCUUCAAUAUGAUGACAUUUAAGACAAUGGCUACUUUCAUGCACCACCUGCAGCCACGAUAUUUAUAAACAAAAAUGCUGGAAUUAGCUUGGACUAAAGGCAUUCUGUUUAGACAAAAAAUUUGGCUUGUUUUUAUUGUGUUUAUUUUAUCAUUCUCAUA